This 84-nucleotide ribosomal RNA is filed under the name Nannospalax galili (Upper Galilee mountains blind mole rat). The record is from RNAcentral. Lineage: Eukaryota; Metazoa; Chordata; Mammalia; Rodentia; Spalacidae.
ACUCAGGGCCAUAUCAUCUUGAAUGUGCCAGAUCUCUUCUGAUCUUUGAUGCUAAGCAGCGUCAGGCCUGGCUAGUGCUUAGGC